CUUUACUGCCCCCCCCCCUCUCUCUCUCUCUCUCUCUCUCUCUCUCUCUCUCCUGAAGAAAUAUCAGCUAUUCAGCAAAUAGGUUUAGGUGUGUUCAGAGAAUGUUCAGGGUAAAUCCUCUCCUUUAUGACCAUCCAUAUGUGGUCCACUUUGUAUUCUUCCACAGCUUUCUUGAACUGCAUGGCUUGGCGUGGGAUGGCUAAAUUAUUCCCUAAUAACAGUAAGUCUGGUAGGAUGCAGUGGGUUAUGGUUACUGCAGUCCGUAGUUCAAUAAAGCUGUGGGAAGAUACAGAGAGGGCCUGAUCAUCAGGGUCAUGAUUAUUUGGUGCUGUGAAGCAGAAAAAGGUUUUUGGAUCUAGAUUUUCUCUCUGAUCUACAGAUCGGUGCUUUGAUUAUCGAUCAUUCAACUUCUCUCUCUGCAAUUAUGAUCAGUUGUUUGAUGAAUUUACCUUUUUUCUUUAUAAUACUGCUAACUGUGAUAGGCUUUCAAGAAUUCCAGUUCUAUUUCUGGCCAUUGCUUAGUGUUGUUGAUGUUGGUAAUCUUCAAUAUUGGGUUAUGCAUAUGUGAUGGUUGUUUAGGAAUUUGAUUUAAUUGGGUUUGUCAAUUUAACUAGGUUGAUUGCUUUGUUAUGCGAAUAAAUAACCUGUGCAAUAUAUGACAGGUGGAGUGUUGGAGUAUUUCUAUCAAUCGGUCAUGUCAUAUAGGCCUGAGUCAAACAUCCAAUUGCUUCGAUUUGAAUUAUCCGGAGGAUCUUAAUACUUUCAGUAAAUGGAUCUGAAACAACCCUCAAAUUGAUCUCAUGGUUGCCUCAAGUGAAAAUGAGAUUCUAUAUGUUGGCAGAUGAAAUGAAUAUAAACAGCUCAGAAUUAUGGCCAAGGUCCUUUUAUUUUAAUCGGGAACAGGAGUCAUGCAUAUGGUAUGCUGCCUGCAGAGAUUGUUAUAGUAGUAAAUUUUUGCAGAGAUGGCUGUAACAGUAAAUUUCUGGCUUUAUUGGAGUUCUAUAUGGUUCUCUUUCUUACAUGCCAUGGUGUCUGUUACACAUUGAACAUAUUACAGCUAUAAUUCUAAUCAUGAAAUCCAGUUUCUUCAGAUAAA
Macadamia integrifolia is the source of this 1096-nucleotide long non-coding RNA. RefSeq lists it as uncharacterized. The transcript has 2 exons. NCBI's taxonomy places the organism in Eukaryota, Viridiplantae, Streptophyta, Magnoliopsida, Proteales, Proteaceae. The record is from RefSeq and is a predicted model, not a curated record.